CGGAGUUAUGCAUCCGGGUUGGAGUAGACCCGAAAGGACGGUCCUAGCUGGUGAGUACCUGCGAUGAUGGACUUAACGUGAGGCAAGUUAAUGUGGCGAAACCCCCCGGGUUAGCCUUAAUGAUUAAAGAGCAAAGAACAAAGAUUAAAGUUAAAGAAUGAAAGAACUUGCAUAAUCUGCAUAUGUUUAAUGUUGAGUAUACUUCCUGCUUUUGUUCAGGCAUAUUAGUAUCAUGUUAUAGAUUGGUUACCAUAUUUCAGCUUAUCCUUUCUAUUAUGCCUGAGUUAGUCCUAGUGGGAAAGUCGGUGAUGUUGAGGCCGAACCCACUGGGAACUUUGUUGUAGUUCUCACCCCACUAUUUCUACAGAGCCGGGACCGAGCGAGCCGGCGAGCGACCGAGGUAAAGGUAUCGCGCCUUAGACAGAGGCCACCAAUGUUGGGUUUCAUUUUGUUAGUAGACACCUUUUCAUCAUCUUUUGUAUGUGAUGAUUAGUAGUGUAAAGAAAAGAAUGUAAAGCUUAUUUUGAGGAAAAUGUGAUGUAAGAAAGAAAUGAUGAAGUUAUGUAAUGGACUGCAAAGAAUUCGAAAAUUAUUAGAUGAAUGCAAUGUAUAUGAUCCAAAAUGAAUCAUGUUACUUGUGAAUGUUUAGUUUCCUUUUUCUUUCACUUAUGGCUAUUGCUUACCCUCGUGUAAGCCGUUUGUGUAUGUUUCCGCUAGUGCAUUUCUGGUUUGAAUUUGUACAUGUGAUGAGCCUUGGGCGGAUAGGGGAAACUCUGUCCGUUCGGCGUCUGUUUGACGUGCUCGGGUCGGGCCAAAUUGGCAUCGGUCCCGGGGCGUGACAGAUAAGUUGGUAUCAGAGCCAAUAGUAAAAGAAUAGGAAUGGACCUAGUGACCCUUAGGAUUGGAAGACCUUAAGGAUCUAGGAAACGUGAAUGACGUGGAAUCAAAGUUAGCGAAAGCAUGUGAUUGGGUUAAGUAGGGACGUCUCUAAUGUGAUUAGAGGCUAAGUUUAAUUUUCGUUUAUCCUCUACUUCUAGUGUUGUGUCGGGCGGCCGACGACAUGACGCUUGAGGCAAGGAUGAAUGUGUAUGUUGCUUUCGCCUAAUUGGGUAUGGUUAAGUAAAGUUGGUCAAGUGACUAAUGCGAGUUGCUUCUUUUCAGGAAGCAAUGGCACCUCGACGUCGAUCGCAGACAAGGUCGAUGCCGGAGGAAGCGAAUGCGAUGCCCGAGCAAUCCGGAGCGAGUGGCGACGGAGAGCUUAGGGAGCAAAUGGCCGCGCUUAUCGGAGUAGUGCGGCAACAAGCGGAGUCUGUUCAACGCCAAGGGGAACAGAUUCAUCGGCUCCAGGAGACCUUAAAGCGCCAGCAGGCGGCGGCGGCCCAGGCGGGUGUCGAGCAUGUCGCGCCCCCUGUGGUAGUGUCGAGUGUUGUUGAGGGAGCGGCGGCAGCGGCGGCUGUUCCAGUUACAGUAGUACCGGCCGGGUCGGGAACCUCAAAUCCCGAUAGCGCGGCAGUAGAUGCGGAGCGAGAGCGCACUUUGGCGGCUCUCAUUCAGUUCAAGAAGUUCGACCCACCUACCUUCGAGGGCGGUUUGGUGGAGCCGGCGAUUGUGGAGUCGUGGAUCGACUCGAUGGAGACGCUCUUCGAGGAUUUGAAUACCUUGGAGAAGGAUAAAGUGUACCUCGCCACCCAUUGUCUAGGGAAGGCGGCGAUGGUAUGGUGGAAGCGAGUUAAGCGGGAUCGUCCUACCGAUCUCCCGCUCAUGCUUUGGGAAGAGUUCAAGAGAGCAGUGUUCGCGAACUACUUCCCCGACACGGUGAAGCGGAAGCUACAAGACAAGUUCCGCAAGUUGAGACAGGGUGAUCGAUCGGUGGGAGAGUAUGAGCAGGAAUUCUCCCACAUUAUUGACUGCGUUCCCGAUGUUGUUCGUGAUGAUCGGGACCGGGCGGAUUGGUUCUUGCGAGGACUUCAACCCCGGAUUUAUGAGAAAGUGCAGAUCUUGAAGUUGUCGACCUUUGCGGAGGUCUUCGAUAGAGCUUUGUGGGCGGAGCACGGUAGCGCCCAUGUACGUGAGGAACGAGAAGCUAUGGCCGAGUCCAAGGACAAAGGCAAGAAGAGGACGGCGGGUGGUGCCGGGGGCCGGCCAAAUGCUAAGAAACCCCCUCGGUAUCCCCGACAGCAGUCGAGGAAUUGGAGACCGCCUCGAUGCGUCAUUUGUGGCGGAGAGCAUAAGGUGUCGACUUGCCCUCAGCGCGAUGGCAAGUGUUUCAAGUGUGGCCAACCGGGACAUCUUAUCCGGGAGUGCCCGUCGUGGACGUCAUCUGCGCCAACGGCGGCUUCAACAACGUCUACCCCGAGACAGCUUGCGGGGUUACCACCGGCGAUGUCGGCUGGGCGCGCGUCAUCACCGCGUCAGCCGGAGGGAUCGAGAGCGCCUAGCGGCCGAGUCUUUGCCGCUCAGGUGGAGGAGCAGCAACCUGCAGCACCCGACGAUGUCGUGGCAGGUAUAAUUGUGAUUAAAGGCACUAUAGCUAGAGCAGUGUUUGAUACAGGCGCAUCUCAUUCAUUCGUUAGCACUUCAUUUGCUAAGACACAUGGCAUAGAGAUGGUGUACAAUGAGGAUUACUGGUGGGUGAACGCCCCAGAACAUUCCUUCAGUGUUCAUAACGAGUGUUUGGCGUGUCCAGUGCAAAUAGGCGAUUGGAUCAUGCCGAUUGAUCUGCUAGUGCUAGAUCAGAUGUGGGGAUUUGAUGUUAUCUUGGGGACCAACUGGCUCUCCAAGUACUAUGCGGUGAUAGAUUGUGAAAGUAAGGUGAUCACUUUUCGUGAGCCUAAUCAAGAAGAGUUAGUCUACCAAGCGUGCAAAAGUAGGCGCUUCGCGGCGACUAUAUCGUCUGUAAGGGCGAAGAAAAUGAUUAAAGGAGGGUGUAAGGCCUAUUUGGCAACCAUGGUGGAUGCUCGAAAGGAGUACCCAGAGUUGGGGGAUAUCCGAGUAGUGUGCGAGUACCCGGAUGUGUUUCCGGCGGAGUUACCGGGACUGCCACCGGACCGGGAAGUUGAGUUUGUCAUUGACUUAAUUCCCGGGGCGGAACCAGUUUCGAAGGCUCCGUAUAGAAUGGCACCGGUGGAGUUAAAGGAGCUAAAAGGUCAACUACAAGACUUGCUCGAUAAAGGCUUCGUGAGACCGAGUGUGUCACCGUGGGGAGCUCCGGUGCUAUUUGUGAAGAAAAAGGAUGGCACACUUCGACUCUGCGUAGAUUAUCGCGAGUUGAAUAAAGUGACGAUAAAGAACAAGUACCCGUUGCCAAGAAUUGACGAUCUAUUCGAUCAGUUGCAAGGGUCCAAGGUGUAUUCAAAGAUUGAUCUCCAAUCGGGGUAUCAUCAAUUAAAGAUUAGGCCAAAGGAUGUGCACAAAACGGCGUACCGUACGCGGUAUGGCCAUUAUGAGUUCACGGUGAUGCCGUUUGGGCUUACUAAUGCCCCGGCAGCAUUUAUGGACUUGAUGAAUCGAGUCUUUAGACCGUUGUUGGAUCGAUGCGUCGUGGUGUUCAUAGACGACGUAUUGGUCUAUUCGAAAAGCGAGGAGGAACAUGAAGAGCAUCUGAGAGCUGUGUUGCAAAUACUCAGACAAGAGAAGCUCUAUGCAAAGUUAAAGAAAAUGUGACUUUUGGCUAAAGGAGGUCACAUUCUUGGGUCAUGUGGUAUCGGGCGACGGAGUUUCGGUAGACCCGAAGAAAGUAGAGGCGAUCAAGGAUUGGCCUCGCCCAACGAAUGUAGCGGAGAUCCGCAGUUUUCUUGGACUGGCGGGCUAUUACCGGCGGUUCGUGGAAGGGGUUCGCCAAAAUAACCACUCCACUAACGCGCCUCACGCAUAAAGGAGUAAAGUACGUUUGGAGCGACGAUUGCGAUCGAAGCUUCGAGGAGUUAAAGAACAGAUUGACGUCGACCCCGGUGCUUGCUUUGCCGACUCCGGGAAGAGACCUUUGUAGUGUACAGUGAUGCCUCGUAUGUUGGUCUCGGGUGUGUAUUAAUGCAAAAUGGGCGAGUUAUUGCUUAUGCAUCACGCCAGUUAAAGAGUUAUGAGAAGAACUACCCGAUUCACGACCUCGAGUUAGCCGCGGUGAUUUUCGCGCUAAAGCUUUGGAGGCAUUACUUGUAUGGUGAACAUUGUGAGGUAUAUACCGAUCAACAAGAGUCUCAAGUACUUGUUCACCCAGAAAGAGUUAAAUAUGCGACAGCGGCGGUGGUUAGAGUUGCUAAAGGACUAUGAUGUCACCAUAUUAUACCACCCCGGAAAAGCCAAUGUUGUGGCCGAUGCCUUGAGUAGAAAAUCGGCGGAGAAUUUAGCGACGGCGAUUACGCCCCAACCGCUAUUACAAAAGGAAAUGCAACGAUUCGGGUUGGAAGUGGUAGCGUCGGGAGUGCCGGCUACACUUGCCACAUUAGUUGUGCAACCGACCCUAUUCGAGAGAAUUAAGGAGUUACAAGCUUCGGAUCCUUAUCUUCAAAAGGUUCUGGGUGAUGUUGAGAAUGGCAAAGCCGAAGACUUUGGCAUUGGGGCUGAUGGCGCACUUCGAUUUUGAAAUCGAUGGUGUGUGCCUAAAGAUGAUGAACUACGAAGGGCGAUCAUGCAAGAAGCGCAUCAAUCCCCCUAUAGUAUACACCCCGGCGGCACUAAAAUGUACAAGGAUUUGAAAGAGCACUAUUGGUGGCCGGGUAUGAAAAGAGAUAUUGGAGAGUUCGUGGCGCAAUGUCUAACGUGCCAACAGGUAAAAGCAGAGCGCCGAUUUCCGGCGGGGAAGCUACAAAGUCUACCAAUACCCGUCUGGAAAUGGGAAAAUAUAACGAUGGACUUUGUUACCGGUUUGCCUCGAUCACAAGGCGGACAUGAUGCGAUAUGGGUAAUAGUAGAUCGAUUGACAAAGUCGGCACACUUCUUGCCGAUACAUACUACGUGGUCGGGAGACAAGCUAGCGCAAGUUUAUCUCGACGAGGUUGUGAGGCUUCAUGGGGUUCCAGUAUCGAUCGUGUCGGAUCGAGACCCCAGGUUCACAUCCCACUUUUGGAAGAGUUUGCAAGAUGCGCUAGGCACACGGCUCGACUUCAGUACGGCGUUUCAUCCUCAAAGUGAUGGACAGUCAGAACGGACGAUACAAAUCCUUGAGGAUUUACUUCGAGCGUGUGUGCUAGAUUACAAAGGAGGAUGGCAUGACUUCUUGCCUAUGGCGGAGUUCGCCUAUAAUAACAGCUAUCAAGAAAGUAUAGCGAUGGCGCCUUUUGAGGCACUGUAUGGAGGUAAGUGUCGUUCUCCUAUUCAUUGGAGCGACGUGGGCGAGAGGACGGCUCUUGGCCCGGAUGUAAUGAGGGAGGCGGAAGAGAAAGUUCGCCUUGCCCGUCAACGGUUAGCGAUGGCGCAAUCUCGGCAAAAGAGUUAUGCCGACAAGCGAAGAAAGGAUUUGGAGUUCGCGGUUGGAGACCGUGUAUUCUUGAGAGUAUCGCCGAUGCGAGGAGUUAAACGAUUCGGGGUCCGUGGGAAGCUAAGUCCCCGAUAUGUCGGACCGUUUGAGAUAUUGGAGCGUGUGGGUGCGGUGGCGUACAAGCUCGCAUUACCACCGAGACUCACGGGAGUUCAUAAUGUUUUCCAUGUGUCGAAUCUUCGAAAGUAUAUCCGAAACGCGGCACAUGUAUUGGAAUACGAGCCCGUGGAGCUACGUGAAGACAUGUCCUAUGAGGAGUACCCCGUGUGCAUCCUCGAUCGAGAAGUUAAGAAGUUGCGAAGUCGCAAAAUUCCAUAUGUGAAAGUCCAAUGGAGCAACCACGCGGCGCGAGAAGCCACUUGGGAGCUCGAGGAGUCAAUGCGGAAAGAGUAUCCGCAUCUGUUUGAAUCGACGAGUUAAGGUAUGCAUAAUUUCGCGGACGAAAUUAUUUUAAGGGGUGGAGAAUGUAAUAUACCGAAAGUUCGAAAAAUAAAAGUCGAACUUUAGUCAAAUUGACCAAAGUGCGAGGAUGGAACACUUCGGAAAGUCCGAAGGUGUUAAAAUGAUUAAAAGUGAGUUGUGGAAGGUUUUCGAGAGCUAAAGAAUUGAAUUCUGCGAAACUGCAGAUUUUCAGCUCUCGGGGACCGGUCCCUGAAGGGAGAGACCGGUCCCCGAACGCGUAUGAAAUGAGACAGCCGAAAAAUCGGCUAAGUCCUCGAAGGAUAGCUCUCGGGAACCGGUCUCUGCCUGAGAGACCGGUCCCCCAGAGACCGGUCCCAUAGGGAGAGACCGGUUGCACUGCGCGCAGCAGCUCUGGCUGCGCUGGGACAACGUUCGGGAACCGGUCCCUGCUCGGGGAGACCGGUCUCUGCCUGCGCGAUCAGCCCUGUCCAGGCUGUGUGAAAGAGUAAAAGUUGAGGGGUUUAGCUGCAAUUUUGCAACCCAAUAGCUAUGUAUUGAGGGUUAAUGAGAUUUUCUCUCAUUUCCUCACCCUCUCACACUCUCUUCUCUCCCUCUCUCUCUAGAAGGCAAAGGAGAAGAAGAAGAAGGAAAGAAAGGAAGGAAAAGAAGGAGAAAAAGGUGAAGGAGAAGAUCAAGGAGCAAGGAGGCUUCAUCUUCUUCUUCUCUAGUGCAAGAAAAAUGAGCUUACAAGGUAGGCUCUUAACCCUAAUGUAGUAAAACCCUAGAAUGAGUUUUGAAUGACCUAGAAAUGGGUUUUAAUGGAAUGAUUAAAGAGUUUUGAAGCUUUCUUUUGCUUCUAAAGAGAUCAAAACCUAGAUUUGCUAUAGAGGUGAGCUUGGACCACCUCUAAUGGUGAAAUCCAAACUAAGGUUUUGGAAAGGCUAAGAAUGGUUCUAAUGGGUUAUUUAGAGUAUAAUGAAGCUACUUUUGCUUCCCAAUGAGAUCAAACCCUAGGUUUGACAUGAGUAUUGGAGCUAGGGCACCAAAUUGGGGCUUUUGCUCAUGAGGGUUUCUAAGUGCAAUUGACCCUCUAAAAACCUAAUUGGGGGUGUUUCCGACGCAUUGGUGCGCUCGGAAUAGCAUUACGAAAAGUCAAAGUAAAGUUAUGAGCAAAAUGGCCUAAUAAGGGUUCGUUUUGCCGCAGGUAAAGAACGAGACGUCUAAAAAUCCCGAGAAAAUCGUCGGAGCACCUAAAUAGACCUGCAAGGUGGGUGGUGCUUUCCAAACUCAUUGAAAUUCUCUCUAUGCCUAAUGUGUCAUUCUUUGAGCAUAUGUUAUAUAUAUUGUUGCAUGCAUUUAGGGUAAAAUAAUGAUGAGAUAUGACGUUGCAUGAUUGUGAGCACAACUUGCAUAAUGAGAUGGUUGAGAAUCUAAUAAUGUCAAAACCCUAGAUGUAUGCAUGAGAGAAAAUGUGAGCACCCAAGGUGAGCAAAAGAACAGAGUGGCAAUGACAUAGAUCGAGUGGCAUUUGAAAACAUAAAGUAAAGUGACACUAGAGUUAGUGUGAGCCAAAGAACCAAAGUGAUGUAAAGAAUGAUGAAAAUGACAAUGUGUAAAGUUAAAGUAAAGUGGGGCAAUAAGAACGAGAAAUGUAAAGAAUAUAAUUGCUAGAGUUAGCAAAAGUAAAAGAAAAGUAAAGAAUAACGAUUGCAUGAGUUGCAACAUAAAGUGAUGUAAUGAACACUAGAGCUAGUGUAAAGUCAAGAUUGAACUUAUAAAUCCUUUGAGUUAAGGAUAUGAUCAUACUUGCUAUGAGUUCCGUGCUCGAGGGUGGUCGCUCUCCCUCGAGCGAUGCGCUCCGGAGUUUAUGCAUCCGGGUUGGAGUAAACCCGUAAGGACGGUCCUAGCUGGUGAGUUCCUGCGAUGAUGGACUUAAUGUGAAGCAAGUUAAUGUGGCGAAACCCCCGGGUUAGCCUUAAUGAUUAAAGAGCAAAGAACAAAGAUUAAAGUUAAAGAAUGAAAGAACUUGCAUAAUCUGCAUAUGUUUAAUGUUGAGCAUACUUCCUGCUUUUGUUCAGGCAUAUUAGUAUCAUGUUAUAGAUUGGUUACCAUAUUUCAGCUUAUCCUUUCUAUUAUGCCUGAGUUAGUCCUAGUGGGAAAGUCGGUGAUGUUGAGGCCGAACCCACUGGGAACUUUGUUGUAGUUCUCACCCCACUAUUGCUACAGAGCCGGGACCGAGCGAGCCGGCGAGUGACCGAGGUAAAGGUAUCGCGCCUUAGACAGAGGCCACCAAUGUUGGGUUUCAUUUUGUUAGUAGACACCCUUUCAUCAUCUUUUGUAUGUGAUGAUUAGUAGUGUAAAGAAAAGAAUGUAAAGCUUAUUUUGAGGAAAAUGUGAUGUAAGAAAGAAAUGAUGAAGUUAUGUAAUGGAAUGCAAAGAAUUCGAAAAUUAUUAGAUGAAUGCAAUGUGUAUGAUCCAAAAUGAAUCAUGUUACUUGUGAAUGUUUAGUUUCCUUUUUCUUUCACUUAUGGCU
RNAcentral lists this long non-coding RNA (8411 nucleotides) under Ananas comosus (pineapple). RNAcentral's name for it is "long non-coding RNA (ACOM_LNC042931)". The record is from RNAcentral. Lineage: Eukaryota; Viridiplantae; Streptophyta; Magnoliopsida; Poales; Bromeliaceae.